Aegilops tauschii subsp. strangulata is the source of this 1182-nucleotide long non-coding RNA. RefSeq lists it as uncharacterized. Lineage: Eukaryota; Viridiplantae; Streptophyta; Magnoliopsida; Poales; Poaceae. The record is from RefSeq and is a predicted model, not a curated record.
GGAUUUUUUUUUUGCGGGAUCAUCAUUUUCACAUUUAGUACCCUGUGCACAAAAUUAUUUGCUGCAUUCAAGAUUGCUGCUUUUGAAGUUUGUGUUUAAUAUAAAAAUUAAUGGAUGUGCUAUGAUCUUGUGCAGAAGAGACAGAUCAGUCAUAAUGUGGCCAAGUUCAAAUUAGUUUCCCUAGACCUACUUCUGUUUUGGGCCUUGCAAUUGGCCGAUAUAUAAGAUGCAGAGGGAAGGAUUCUACUAGUGAGGAAGUAGUCAUGCCUUAUACUCGGACUACACUGGAUUUUGAUAUUGGAUACUUUGAGCUUGUUUUAAAGGUAAUUUGUCGUAAACAUGUUCCAACCCCACUGGAUGUCUCUUAUCAUUGAUUCUGAUGGUAAAAAGGCAUUGUGACAAGUUGACUAGAAUAAUUAGCUUCAUUGUACACCAUAUUAUUAAUUCACUUCUGAAGAUAUGAUGGCAGCAAACUGUUAGCUACAGCUAUCUCUGCAAGGGGUUUCGUGGUAGGAAACUGUUGCGCUUGUGGUCCAUUUUUCAAGUAUUAGUUUCUGCAAGUAUUUCAUUCUCCACGAUCCUGCCGCUCCUCCGCCCCUGCGAUGCCUCAACCUCCUCGUAGCCCUGCACAUCAAACUGUUAGGUACAACUCUCUGUACAAGGGGUUUCGUGGUACGAAACUGUUGCGCUUGUGAUCCAAUUAUGAAGUAUUAAUUACUACAAGUGACCCGAAGCGGCACACACCUACAUGCUGGUGUGCUGAGAAGAUCAAGCACGCUAAGAAGAUCAAGCAGGCAGAGAAAAAAGUCCGUAGUUCUAGAUUCUCAGGCAAGGUAGAGAAGACUCAUGGUAGGCAGGGUGUGCUUGUCCGUACAAAAAACAUCGCACAUUUAAUGGCAGCUGAUCAUGUAGUACAAACAUCAUACGUUGAAGACAUGUGGGAGGUUGAAGAUGAUGUUCGAUGAGUUCUUGGCUUUCAUGAGUAUGUAGUCAUUUAUCCGGUUGUUGUAAUUGAACACAUGCAUGUGUGUCUGCUUGUGUGCCGCUAUUAGCACCCUCCUACUUUUACAACAAAUCAGAGAAGGUUAGGUAAUAUUCUUUGCUUGUUUAAUGAAAUGCGCCUGUGCAAAUUUGCAUCAAUCCAUAAUGUGGUGAGAAUCUUAGAAAAAUGGUGGAUUAAUU